ACAUGCAAGUCGAACGAAGGCCUUGGCUUGCCAGGUGUCCUUAGUGGCGGACGGGUGAGUAACGCGUGGGAACCUGCCCUGGAGCGGGGGACAACCACUGGAAACGGUGGCUAAUACCGCAUACGCCCUUUGGGGGAAAGGCUUCGGCCACUCCUGGAUGGUCCCGCGUCUGAUUAGCUGGUUGGUGAGGUAAUGGCUCACCAAGGCGACGAUCAGUAGCUGGUUUGAGAGGAUGAUCAGCCACACUGGGACUGAGACACGGCCCAGACUCC
This 272-nucleotide ribosomal RNA is filed under the name unidentified marine bacterioplankton. Its description in RNAcentral is "partial 16S ribosomal RNA". It matches the Rfam family "Bacterial small subunit ribosomal RNA", at positions 53 to 339 of the family's 1533-position model. The record is from RNAcentral. RNAcentral also lists the same sequence under 1 other name.